CCGGGCCCGCGCCCGCCGAAGACACCCUCGAACUCUGUCUGAAGAUUGAAGUCUGAGUGGAAAAUAUAAAUUAUUUAAAACUUUCAACAACGGAUCUCUUGGUUCCGGCAUCGAUGAAGAACGCAGCGAAAUGCGAUACGUAAUGUGAAUUGCAAAUUCUAGUGAAUCAUCGAGUCUUUGAACGCACAUUGCGCCCCCUGGUAUUCCGGGGGGCAUGCCUGUCCGAGCGUCAUUGCUGCCCUCAAGCCCGGCUUGUGUGUUGGGCCCCGUCCUCCGAUCCCGGGGGACGGGCCCGAAAGGCAGCGGCGGCACCGCGUCCGGUCCUCGAGCGUAUGGGGCUUUGUCACCCGCUCUGUAGGCCCGGCCGGCGCUUGCCGAUCAACCCAAAUUUUUAUCCAGGUUGACCUCGGAUCAGGUAGG
This 420-nucleotide ribosomal RNA is filed under the name Penicillium viridicatum. Its description in RNAcentral is "eukaryotic LSU rRNA". The stretch from base 79 to 232 matches the Rfam family "5.8S ribosomal RNA". The record is from RNAcentral. Lineage: Eukaryota; Fungi; Ascomycota; Eurotiomycetes; Eurotiales; Aspergillaceae.